CGGAAAAAGUGAAUAUAAUUCCUGUUUUUUUCUAUACAGAUAGCGAACAACAGAGAACAAACGCGGAGACGACUCAUCAUCGCUCGCCAGAGAAAGACCAAGUUUUAGACUGGUGGGUUACUCGUCGUGGGUCGCGCGGUCCAGUAGUGGUUGCUACUCUAUCUCUUCACCUACUCUAAGGUGAAGCGGCGUGGGGGGUAGUAGCAGAGGGGGGAGGGUAGAGGCUUGGUAGUCUAGUUCUUCGAAACCCUCUCUUCGAGGCCGGCGGUCGCUGUUACGGCGAGACGUCGAAGAUGCGGAGGUGCAGGGAGGGCCACGGCUUUGGGGUGAGGAACGGGAGGAGGCGGCGCCGCCAGUGGUGGCACGUCCGUUUCUUCAGCGGCGGCCGGCACCGACGCCGACGCCGCCGCUGGCAGGACGGCUGCUGCCGGCUCUCGUGUCGCAGCUACUACGGCCGCCUCCGCGACAGCGACGUGGACGGCCUCGACGGCAGCCGCUACGCCCUGUUCUAGGACUCGGACCUCGACUACCCCCACCUGAUGCCCGCGCGCGACAGCGACUUGGGCCGCGAGGCCCUGCGCCGCGGCCUCAGGUAGGUGCGCCACCACUGGAAGGAGGUCAGCGCGCCCGAGGUGAAGUUCCUGGACCCGGCGCAGAAGCCGUACACGGGCAGGCACGAGUGGCGGUCGCAGGCGCGGCUGGAGGCGGGGCAGAAGCGGAAGGAGUGGCUGCUGGAGCCGCACGGCCUCCGCCGGAUGGCGGCGCACCAGCAGUUCACGGGCGCGCACGACCGGACGUCGCAGGCGCUGGUCGAGGCCGGCCGCGAGUAGAUGGAGGCGGCGGAGCCGAAGGCCCUGUUGGCGCGCGACCGCAAGGUCCUGGGGUAGGAGGAGCAGAGGUCGCACCUCGCGUGGUACCGCGGGUUCGACCUCAUGGACCGGCCCGACCCGUACAGCGCCCUGCUGCGGCACCGGUACCGCGAGGCCACGGGCCGGGAGAAGUGGAAGUUGCACCUCUCCUUGAUGUCCGGGUUCAAGCUCAUGGACCACCCCCUCUACCCGCCGCCGCACCUCCUGCAGUUCCGGAAGGGCGUCAUGAAGUGGAAGUCGGAGCUCUUCGCCUAGCGCGGCGCCGUGGCACGGCGGCGGCUGCGGCCGCAGCUGGACGGCGACGGCCUGUACGAGUUCCGGUGGCUGCUCCUCAAGUCGCUCUACGAGCUCUCCUCUUCCUCGUCUACUUCGCACGUCAUACCGGCGGCCGGCCGGCCGACUCGCGCCGCACGCGGUACGAGUACGUGCGUCCGCCGGCCGCCCACGAAGCAUGUGAACGGUGGCUCGAUACCGCUGGUGCCAGACAUGACAUGUAUUACUAGUUACCAGCUACGGUGCCGAGGGCUGAGUGUAGCACUUCACUACCACGAAGAAAGAAAACAUCUCCUACAUAUUAUUCAUAUGGUUACUUCAUCAGCUCUCGGUUUCACUUAAAGAGCCUGCACGGUACACAUAUCACAAGUAUUGUGUACAACCCCGUCAUUUAUUUCAGUACCUCCUUUCAAGUUAGCCCUACUUGAGAUAAUAUUAUAGUUCUUCACAUUUCGUCUCACUUGCACUUUGAAACGCUGGUAGGCUAGAUAAAAACUUAGCCUACCGAGUUCUCGUGAAGAGAUCACAUUCAAACGUUGACUUUGUUCUUUACAUUAGGAAAGGUG
RNAcentral lists this ribosomal RNA (1708 nucleotides) under Triticum aestivum (bread wheat). RNAcentral's name for it is "partial small subunit ribosomal RNA". Lineage: Eukaryota; Viridiplantae; Streptophyta; Magnoliopsida; Poales; Poaceae. The record is from RNAcentral.